RNAcentral lists this ribosomal RNA (895 nucleotides) under uncultured crenarchaeote. RNAcentral's name for it is "bacterial SSU rRNA". It matches the Rfam family "Archaeal small subunit ribosomal RNA", at positions 51 to 923 of the family's 1478-position model. The record is from RNAcentral. Lineage: Archaea; Thermoproteati; Thermoproteota.
AUGCUAGUCAGCGCUUUCUAUCUAAUAUGAAAGUGCGGCAUACAGCUCAGUAACACGUGGCUAACCUGCCCUUGGGACGGAGACACCCCCGGGAAACUGGGGUUAAUUUCCGAUAGGUGAAAAAUUCUGGAAUGAAUUUUCGCUCAAAAGAGGUUUAUGUUAUGCUCAUAUUCUUCGCCCAGGGAUGGGGCCGCGACCGAUCAGGUUGUUGGUGAGGUAAUGGCUCACCAAGCCUUUUACCGGUACGGGCCGUGAGAGCGGGAGCCCGGAGAUGGGCACUGAGACAAGGGCCCAGGCCCUACGGGGCGCAGCAGUCGCGAAAACUUUGCAAUACACGAAAGUGUGACAAGGCUAUCCCGAGUGCCAUCCGCUGAGGAAGGCUUUUACCCAGUAUAAAUAGCUGGGAGAAUAAGGAGAGGGCAAGUCUGGUGUCAGCCGCCGCGGUAAUACCAGCUCUCCGAGUAGUGUGGAUGUUUAUUGGGCCUAAAGCAUCCGUAGCUUGCUAGGCAAGUCCCCUGUUAAAUCCACCGAUUCAAUCGAUGGUUUGCGGGGGAUACUGUUUGGCUAGGGGACGGGAGAGGUCGACGGUAUUUCCGGGGUAGGGGUGAAAUCCUAUAAUCCCGGGAGGACCACCAGUGGCGAAGGCUGUCGACUAGAACGCGCCCGACGGUGAGGGAUGAAAGCUGGGGGAGCGAACCGGAUUAGAUACCCGGGUAGUCCCAGCUGUAAACGAUGCAAACUGGGUUUUUGGGCGGCCACGAGCCGCCCUAGUGCCGCAGGAAGCUGUUAAGCCUGCCGCCUGGGGAGUACGGCCGCAAGGCUGAAACUUAAAGGAAUUGGCGGGGGAGCACCACAAGGGGUGAAGCUUGCGGUUUAAUUGGAUUCAACGCCGGAA